Molecule: long non-coding RNA, 420 nt
Filed under: Pan troglodytes (chimpanzee)
Lineage: Eukaryota; Metazoa; Chordata; Mammalia; Primates; Hominidae
Description: long non-coding RNA NONPTRT009661
Source: RNAcentral
UGGCCCUUGGGUAGGAGCCCCCCACUACCACCCCCGGCAAGACCAGAAAGAAGCCUGGGUGUUGGGGGGAGGAGUUCAGAGAACCAAGCUCUGCGCAGACUCAGCGGGAGGAUUUGGAAUCGGAGCUGGAGUGUGGGGACGCCGGACAGAUGCCAGGGGAUCUACGUACCCAGGAGAAGGGCCCAGAACGAGCAGAUUUGAACUGAGACCAGUUGCUCUGCCUGUGGGUAUGAUGCUUCGGACAGCACCUGGCUCUGAGGACAGAGGCCCUGGACCCAAGCCACGCGGGCCCACCUUCUCCUGAAGAUCUGGGCUAACUGGGAAGCAAAAAUAAUUACUCUUGUGCCAAAAUGUCCUUGUAAUUAGCAGUUCUGGGAGAUAAAUGAAUUGAAAUAUGUGAUUUUUCAGGGUCCAGCCGGC